GACGAACGCUGGCGGCGUGCCUAAUACAUGCAAGUAGAACGCUGAAGGAGGAGCUUGCUUCUCUGGAUGAGUUGCGAACGGGUGAGUAACGCGUAGGUAACCUGCCUGGUAGCGGGGGAUAACUAUUGGAAACGAUAGCUAAUACCGCAUAAGAGUAGAUGUUGCAUGACAUUUGCUUAAAAGGUGCAAUUGCAUCACUACCAGAUGGACCUGCGUUGUAUUAGCUAGUUGGUGGGGUAACGGCUCACCAAGGCGACGAUACAUAGCCGACCUGAGAGGGUGAUCGGCCACACUGGGACUGAGACACGGCCCAGAGUCCUACGGGAGGCAGCAGUAGGGAAUCGUCGGCAAUGGACGGAAGUCUGACCGAGCAACGCCGCGUGAGUGAAGAAGGUUUUCGGGUCGUAAAGCUCUGUUGUAAGAGAAGAACGAGUGUGAGAGUGGAAAGUUCACACUGUGACGGUAUCUGACAAGAAAGGGACGGCUAACUACGUG
Molecule: ribosomal RNA, 495 nt
Filed under: uncultured bacterium
Lineage: Bacteria
Description: partial 16S ribosomal RNA
Rfam family: Bacterial small subunit ribosomal RNA
Source: RNAcentral